AUUUAUCUAAUAUAACAAGAGUAUACUUGACUUCCAAUCAAGAAGUUUGCGAAAGCAAGAUAAAUA
Molecule: transfer RNA, 66 nt
Filed under: Odontotermes formosanus
Lineage: Eukaryota; Metazoa; Arthropoda; Insecta; Blattodea; Termitidae
Also listed under: 8 other names
Description: tRNA-Gly
Source: RNAcentral